RNAcentral lists this ribosomal RNA (86 nucleotides) under Candidatus Rothia avicola. Lineage: Bacteria; Bacillati; Actinomycetota; Actinomycetes; Micrococcales; Micrococcaceae. The record is from RNAcentral.
GUCCCAUCCCGAACCCGGAAGUUAAGGCUCUUAGCGCCGAUGGUACUGCACUGGCGACGGUGUGGGAGAGUAGGUCAUCGCCGAAU